Molecule: ribosomal RNA, 320 nt
Filed under: uncultured eukaryote
Lineage: Eukaryota
Description: partial 18S ribosomal RNA
Rfam family: Eukaryotic small subunit ribosomal RNA
Source: RNAcentral
CCCCUAGAUGUUCUGGGCCGCACGCGCGCUACACUGACGAAUGCAACGAGCUUAUAACCUUGGCCGAAAGGUCUGGGUAAUCUCCAAAUUUCGUCGUGAUGGGGAUAGAUUAUUGCAAUUAUUAAUCUUCAACGAGGAAUGCCUAGUAAGCGCAAGUCAUCAGCUUGCGUUGAUUACGUCCCUGCCCUUUGUACACACCGCCCGUCGCUCCUACCGAUUGAAUGGUCCGGUGAAAUCUCGGGACGGCGGCUUGGUCGCUUGCGUCCGACUGCUGAAACUUGAUUAAACCAUAUCAUUUAGAGGAAGGUGAAGUCGUAACA